UCCGGUUUGGCACCGGCAGUCUCCGAUGAGUCCCCGGCAUUACCCGCUGGCAACAUCGGACAGGGGUUGCGCUCGUUGCGCCACUUAAGGCAACACCUCACGGCACGAGCUGACGACAGCCAUGCAGCACCUGUGCGGGCUCCCGAAGGAGCGCCGUGUUUCCACGAUUUCACCCCGCAUGUCAAGCCCUGGUAAGGUUCUUCGCGUUGCGUCGAAUUAAACCACAUGCUCCACCGCUUGUGCAGGCCCCCGUCAAUUUCUUUGAGUUUUAACCUUGCGGCCGUACUCCCCAGGCGGAUGACUUAACGCGUUAGCUGCGCCACCGACGGUAAACCGCCGACACUUAGUACCCAUCGUUUAGGGCGUGGACUAC
This 373-nucleotide unclassified non-coding RNA is filed under the name uncultured bacterium. RNAcentral's name for it is "contains 16S-23S intergenic spacer region". The record is from RNAcentral.